AGGUUUAACCUGCCCAUUGAUUAAAUUUAACGGCCGCAGUAAUUUGACUGUGCAAAGGUAGCAUAAUCAUUAGUUUUUUAAUUAAAAGCUUGUAUGAAUGGUUGGACGAGAUAAUAUCUGUCUCUUAAUAAUAAAUAGAAUUUAAUUUUUAAGUAAAAAAGCUUAAAUGAAAAUAAAAGACGAGAAGACCCUAUAGAUCUUUAUAUAACUUUUUUUAAUUUUAAUUAUGAUUGAUUUAUUUAUUAAAAAAUUUUAUAUUUUAUUGGGGUAAUAAAAAGAUUAGAUUAAUUCUUUUUUAUUUAACAUAGAUAAAUGAAUUAAUGAUCCAAUAUUAUUGAUUAAAAGAUUAAGUUACCUUAGGGAUAACAGCGUAAUUUUUUUGGAGAGUUCAUAUCGAUAAAAAAGUUUGCGACCUCGAUGUUGGAUUAAAAAUUAUUUUAGGCGUAGAAGUUUAAAAUUUUGGUCUGUUCGACCAUUAAAUUUUUACAUGAUCUGAGUUCAGACCGGUGUAAGCCAGGUCGGUUUCUAUCUUUAUUGAGUUAAAAUAUUUUAGUACGAAAGGACCAAAUAUUAAAUAUAAAUAUAUUUUGAAAUUUGAAUAA
This 602-nucleotide ribosomal RNA is filed under the name Clemnius decoratus. RNAcentral's name for it is "Hygrotus decoratus partial 16S ribosomal RNA". It matches the Rfam family "Bacterial large subunit ribosomal RNA", at positions 1850 to 2740 of the family's 2925-position model. The record is from RNAcentral. Lineage: Eukaryota; Metazoa; Arthropoda; Insecta; Coleoptera; Dytiscidae.